Molecule: non-coding RNA, 659 nt
Organism: Paramuricea clavata
Lineage: Eukaryota; Metazoa; Cnidaria; Anthozoa; Malacalcyonacea; Plexauridae
Source: the annotation of a GenBank genome assembly
CUUGCGUGUUGAAUUAGUGUGUUUUUCUUUGUGUAACGACUCGAAAACCCCAAAAUUCGGACCCAGCGAAUUUAUACAAUAUAAUGGAAUAUAAACAAGGACAAGUUAAAGGUUUGACAGUUUGACUUUUUAAUUAACAAGUAUAAAUAUACGUUGUAGGCUCAUAAACAUGCGUUGUGCUCUUGUAUUUAUUUGCAUAAUUAUAAAUUUGCAUACCCUGUACUUUCGAGAUAUACAAUGGUGUUAUGGCAUAUGGGGCCCAGACAGUCAGAAAGGCAAUGAAAGGCAUAUUUAACCUCUUUGAAUUACCGGGUGUUUUAGAAUAUCAGUUUCGCGAAAAUCAUAUAGCAUUCAGUAUAACAUGUUUACUGAAUUGCAUUGGCAUAUGUAACGUCCUUACUGUGCUUCGGUUGUGGUCAAUAUCUUUGAAAUGUAACACAAUCCAACAGUAUAUUAUAAAUGAGCUUAUACUGAAAGAUGUGAGUGUGGGGAGGGCCGUAUGCCGAGCGAUUAAACCUGGUUUAUAUGCAAGGGAGAAAACACAUCUAUCUGGUUAAUUAUCGACCCAGGUUAAUGCUAAAUAAAAUGCAAGGGUAAGUUAUCGAAACCACUUAAAGAUUGUGCAUAUUUGACAUGAAAACAUGUAUGUAAUAUAAAAC